UACGAAGGGGGCUAGCGUUGUUCGGAAUUACUGGGCGUAAAGCGCACGUAGGCGGAUCGGUCAGUUAGGGGUGAAAUCCCAGGGCUCAACCCUGGAACUGCCUUUAAUACUGCCGGUCUUGAGUUCGAGAGAGGUGAGUGGAAUUCCGAGUGUAGAGGUGAAAUUCGUAGAUAUUCGGAGGAACACCAGUGGCGAAGGCGGCUCACUGGCUCGAUACUGACGCUGAGGUGCGAAAGCGUGGGGAGCAAACAGG
This 253-nucleotide ribosomal RNA is filed under the name uncultured bacterium. RNAcentral describes it as "partial 16S ribosomal RNA". It matches the Rfam family "Bacterial small subunit ribosomal RNA", at positions 524 to 776 of the family's 1533-position model. The record is from RNAcentral.